AGGAGGGUUCCUUUAUUGGUAAGAAGGGCUAAACUGUAAAUUUAGUACAAUAAUUGUUUUAAGAGUUCGAAUCUCUUGUCUCCUA
RNAcentral lists this transfer RNA (85 nucleotides) under Tolypocladium inflatum. RNAcentral describes it as "tRNA-Tyr". It matches the Rfam family "tRNA". From Rfam's summary of the family: Transfer RNA (tRNA) molecules are approximately 80 nucleotides in length. RNAcentral also lists the same sequence under 2 other names. The record is from RNAcentral. Lineage: Eukaryota; Fungi; Ascomycota; Sordariomycetes; Hypocreales; Ophiocordycipitaceae.